RNAcentral lists this ribosomal RNA (273 nucleotides) under uncultured organism. RNAcentral's name for it is "partial 16S ribosomal RNA". It matches the Rfam family "Bacterial small subunit ribosomal RNA", at positions 346 to 613 of the family's 1533-position model. The record is from RNAcentral.
GCGCAACAGUCGAGAAUUUUCUCAAUGGGGGCAACCCUGAAGGAGCGACGCCGCGUGGAGGAUGAAGGCUUUCGGGUUGUAAACUCCUGUCAUUUGAGAACAAGUGCCAACAAGUAACUACUGUUGGCUUGAUAGUAUCAGAAGAGGAAGGGACGGCUAACUCUGUGCCAGCAGCCGCGGUAAUACAGAGGUCCCAAGCGUUGUUCGGAUUCAUUGGGCGUAAAGGGUGCGUAGGUGGCGUGGUAAGUCGGGUGUGAAAUUUCGGAGCUUAAA